Molecule: ribosomal RNA, 1228 nt
Filed under: Coleoptera sp. 22 KM-2017
Lineage: Eukaryota; Metazoa; Arthropoda; Insecta; Coleoptera
Description: 16S ribosomal RNA
Rfam family: Archaeal large subunit ribosomal RNA (bases 817-1159)
Source: RNAcentral
AUUGAAUAUAUAAUUCUAUUUGGUUGAGCUAAUUUUUGCUGGAUAAAAUAUUAUUGAUUUUAGUAAGGUUAACUGAAAUUAUAAGGGGGGUAAUAGUUUAUUGGUAAAGUGAUUGAAUUAGUGAAGUUAUUAAAAUGGGAAUUAAGUUGUUUACCUUUUGUAUCAGGGUUGAAUUAAGAGGAGAAAGAUUUUUUUGUCUCGAAUAAUUAAGAGCGAUUUAUUUAUUUAAGUUGACGUGGUAAAUUCAUUUAGAAUAAGUAGAUGGUAAUGAUAUGUUAGUCGUUUAAUUAGGAUUCUAGUUUUUGAAUAGAUUAAUUUAAUUAAAUUCUGAAUUUUUGUUUCCUGUUUAAUGAAGAUUGGUUUAGAUUAAAAUUAUGAGGAGUCUAGUUCUUAUAGUUUUUAUAUUUGUUUAGUGGAAUAAAUUUUUUUGGUUUUAGAAUUGGAAUUUAAAUUUGGUUUGUGAAAAAAAAGAUUUAUUGUUCUUGAUUUAUUGAUUGAAUUAAGUUUUUAUUCAAGUGAAAUUUGAAUUAUAGAGUAUUUGGAAUAAUGUUUAGAUUAGUAAAUUAGUGAAUUUAAUUUAAAGAAUUCGGCAAAUUGAUUGUUCACCUGUUUAACAAAAACAUGUCUUGAUUUAUAGAAUAUCAAGUCUAAUCUGCUCACUGAAUUAUUUUAAAGAGCCGCAGUAUAUUGACUGUGCAAAGGUAGCAUAAUCAAUUGUUUCUUAAUUGGAAACUGGAAUGAAAGAUUGGAUGAAAUAAUAACUGUUUCGGAUUAAUAAAUUGAAAUUAAAAUUUAAGUGAAAAUUCUUAAUUGGGUUAGAAAGACGAGAAGACCCUAUAAAGUUUUAUUUAAGGGGGGGUUUAAAUGAUUUUUUUUUGAAUUUAAUUGGGGUGAUUUUUUAAAAUGGAUAACUUAAUUUAAUAGGUACCAAUGUUAAUGAAUAUGUUGAUCUAGUAUUGCUAAAAAUAAGAUUAAAUUACUUUAGGGAUAACAGCGUAAUUUUAAUUAAAAGUUCAUAUUUAUAUUGAAGUUUGCGACCUCGAUGUUGAAUUAAGAUAAAUUAGUGGAGAAGGAGCUACUGAUUUUAGUCUGUUCGACUAUUGAAUCUUACAUGAUUUGAGUUCAGACCGGCGUGAGCCAGGUCAGUUUCUAUCUUUUAUUUGGUUGAAUGGGACAGUACGAAAGGACAUUUUGUUUGUAUAAAAUGAUUGGGUUUGAAUAAAAUUAA